UACGUAGGGUGCGAGCGUUAAUCGGAAUUACUGGGCGUAAAGCGUGCGCAGGCGGUUUUGUAAGCCAGAUGUGAAAUCCCCGGGCUUAACCUGGGAAUGGCAUUUGGGACUGCAAGGCUUGAGUGCGGCAGAGGAGACUGGAAUUCCUGGUGUAGCAGUGAAAUGCGUAGAUAUCAGGAGGAACACCGAUGGCGAAGGCAGGUCUCUGGGCUGACACUGACGCUCAUGCACGAAAGCGUGGGGAGCAAACAGGAUUAGAUACCCCUGAGUAG
This 272-nucleotide ribosomal RNA is filed under the name uncultured bacterium. Its description in RNAcentral is "partial 16S ribosomal RNA". It matches the Rfam family "Bacterial small subunit ribosomal RNA", at positions 524 to 793 of the family's 1533-position model. The record is from RNAcentral.